RNAcentral lists this ribosomal RNA (681 nucleotides) under uncultured Gammaproteobacteria bacterium. RNAcentral describes it as "bacterial SSU rRNA". It matches the Rfam family "Bacterial small subunit ribosomal RNA", at positions 79 to 793 of the family's 1533-position model. The record is from RNAcentral. Lineage: Bacteria; Pseudomonadati; Pseudomonadota; Gammaproteobacteria.
UAUCGGUGUAAGUAGAGUGGCGGACGGGUGAGUAACGCGUGGGAAUCUACCCAGUAGUGGGGGACAACUACCGGAAACGGUAGCUAAUACCGCAUACGCCCUAUGGGGGAAAGGCUUCGGCCGCUAUUGGAUGAGCCCGCGUCAGAUUAGCUAGUUGGUAGGGUAAAGGCCUACCAAGGCAACGAUCUGUAGCUGGUCUGAGAGGACGAACAGCCACACUGGGACUGAGACACGGCCCAGACUCCUACGGGAGGCAGCAGUGGGGAAUAUUGGACAAUGGGCGAAAGCCUGAUCCAGCAAUGCCGCGUGUGUGAAGAAGGCCUGCGGGUUGUAAAGCACUUUCAGUUGGGAAGAUGAUGACGUUACCAACAGAAGAAGCACCGGCUAAAUCCGUGCCAGCAGCCGCGGUAAUACGGAUGGUGCGAGCGUUAAUCGGAAUUACUGGGCGUAAAGCGCGCGUAGGCGGCUAAGUCAGUCAGAAGUGAAAGCCCCGGGCUCAACCUGGGAAUUGCUUUUGAUACUGCUUAGCUAGAGUUUGGUAGAGGAUAGUGGAAUUCCAGGUGUAGCGGUGAAGUGCGUAGAUAUCUGGAGGAACAUCAGUGGCGAAGGCGACUGUCUGGACCAAAACUGACGCUGAGGUGCGAAAGCGUGGGUAGCAAACAGGAUUAGAUACCCUGGUAG